UUUGAAAUGGAAAAUCAAAUUGCAGAAACUUCGUAUAAAACUAUGAGAUCUGUUGCGCAAGUGUUUCCUCCAACGUUCUUCUCCGGCGGCGAUCUCCUCCAUUAACGCUUCUCUUCCAUUGAUGAGAUCUAUUGCGCAAGUCUUUCCUGCGGCAUCGAGUUGUGUUAUGCAAUUUCUCCAUUUCCAUCGAGCUUCAUUGAGCAUCUAGGUUAGUGUACAAAUUUGCAUUAUCUUCUUCUGUUUACUCAUGAUUGGUAAAUAUGCCAUGUUCUAUGCUAACAAUGACCAUGUCUUUUUCUUUAAUUCUAGGUUUUUUAUUUUCUUCCUUGUCAGAAGAAAUUGGAGCUUUCUGAGCACUUGAAGAAAUACCUUGGUACCAGGCAUGAAUUAAAUGGAGGAUUUACAUGGCUCUCAUUCAUAGAACAGAAGACAACUUAGAGGUAUCUAGUAGGGGAAUGGUUAAUAUAAAAAUACCUUGGGAACAUAUUGAUAAUUUAGUGUUACCUCUCUACAACCUCUUUUUUUUGUUUUUUUUGUUUUGUUUUAAAUUAAAUUGCUCUGCUGUAUAUUAUUUUGAUGGUUCAGUUAAGACUCGCAAAGAAGCCAAACGAAUGGCCUUGUCGGAUGCUAUUGCCUCUGCAAAGGCUAGAGUGGAAAGCCUUAAGGCAAGCAUUCAGCAGCAGCAGACAAAGAAACAAGACUUUGCGGAAUUUCCUGCUCAACAGUCCUUUGGUAAUGACCUUUUUUUUGCAUGUGGUUGCUAGUGCUAGUGCAGCAAUCUCUUUAUGUUCCUCUUUCAAUUAAACACAAGUACAAAGUCUCUUUAUGUUCCUCUUUCAA
This is a non-coding RNA of Arachis ipaensis, 840 nucleotides long. Lineage: Eukaryota; Viridiplantae; Streptophyta; Magnoliopsida; Fabales; Fabaceae. The record is from RefSeq and is a predicted model, not a curated record.